UUGGGAUCCUGGCUUGGGAUCGUGGCUCAGGAUUUCUCAAGAGGUUUCUAUCAAACUGAUAACGAAGGCUGUAGUCUCUGAAGACGUGACUGGAGUUGGAAGAUUCACUUCCGAGCCCACUCAUGUGGCUGUUGAUUUACCGACAAGACUGUGAAACUUUCGGGAUGGUUGUGAAAAUGCUGAUUGAAAAAGAUCCUUCAUUAGAAAAGUCUGUACAAUUUGCAUUGAGACAGAAUUUACAUGAAAUAGGUGAGCGGUGUGUUGAAGAACUCAAGCAUUUCAUUGCAGAGUAUGACACUUCUAGUCAAGAUUUUGGAGAGCCUUUUUAGAAAAUUACUUGCUCAGGCAACAAAAAUGUUUCUAGCAGUUUGUUUGUUUUUUUUCCCUGGAUUGUGUAAAUCCUUAAUAUAUGGAAUUUUUGUGAUGAAGAGAAAUACUUUGAUAGUUGACUACCUUUCCAGUGUCAAGUAAACAUCUAAAACAGUCUAAGAUAUUUUAAUUAGAAUUUUAAAAUCUACAUGUAGAGCCUCGUAAUCCAUACUUCUCUUUUUCCCCCCUAAAAUGAUGGGUCAGUUAAUUUUUCAAGCUUUGAAAAAGCAGUCCUGGAGAACAGCUCAUGUUCUCUUGUCUUCUAUAGUAUGCGAUCAUUUGUUUUGGUCACACUAGUGUAAUUUAUUAGGUUAGAGAUCAUUCCACUUAAAACAUUUAUACUCUUUUUGCAUUUCAUAGUCAGUGAUACCAUGUGAAAUGUUAGAAUUCUGAGUUUUGAUUUUAUUGACUUGUUGCUUGCUUAUUUUAGGCUUUGUAACUUUUAAUAUGUUCAAAUAUACUAUCCAAAUAAACUGAAUACUUAAGCGUCUAUAGAAUAUUUGCUUUGAGAUUCUCAUUGUGAUAAAAUACAGCACUUAAAUCUCAAAAAGACCUCAUAAUAAAAUCCUAUUUUCCAAGUAAAUGAACUCAAUGUUUUCUGUUAAAAUAAUCCUGAAACUCCUAACCAUUCUCACAGAUAUGAGUCUUAAACAGUAUCAUAUAUAAGAAAGAGAAGGGACAAUUUGAAAUAAAAGAGAGCUCUUUUCAAAUUGAGGUUUCUUUAGAAUCUUCUAAUUGAAAGAGAGAAAUUUAGAAUAUGAGGGAGUAGUACUGGAGUUUCAUUUUUUCCCCAGGCCCAUAUUUUUCAUCUCAAAAAAGAAGGUCCUUGAUAAUAUAUCCAUAAUCAAACCAUUUACAGAUGAUGCCUUUGUUAAUCUGUUUGUAGUCUUAACAAGAUCUUUGUUCUGAUGCCCUUUUUAGGGGUCCUCAAAAGUGUCCUUUAAAGAAACAAAGCAGAGUAGGCAGUAAGCCCAGCACAAUUACCCCUCACCAAGCGGUUUAUGUAAACAGUUCUUCAUGAGUGAGCCAUCCAAAUCACGAGUUAACUGGGACCAUUAGGAUAUUCCACUCAUUUCCUGAUCCCUUCAGGUGACCAGUGGCAUUUAGCCAAAAUAUGUAUUUCUGUGGCAUUAGGAAACCUUAAAAAUCAUGCUUGUUAUUACUACCCAGUUUCAUUAUCCCCCCAUCCUCUUUCCAUUUCCAUUCUCUUCUCAAAUUCUGAUGUUAUCUUUAGUGGCCUAUAUUGAUAAUAUCUAAAGAGCUACCCCAGAAGAGAUAAAAAUUAUAUUAAAAGGAGAAACAGCAGUACAUUUGGUGAAUCCUAUAAUGUGUAUUAUGCCAUUCCACAAAUGUAAAAACUACUUGAACACAAUUAUUUUCUUAAGUUUUCUAUAUGAGAUUGCCUUGAACUCUUAUUUUUUGCCAUUUAGAUAUUGUACAUAAAACUAAACCCCACAUGUCAUUUCUGGUAGUCUAAUUCCCUAAUUAUGAACAGUGAUUUUAUUUGUUACCCACUUAGAAAGACCAAGAAAGUACUGAUAUUGUUUCUUCGCUUACCCCCUUGUUUUUCUUUUCCUUAAAUAUUCUGAUUCCAGGAUUUAAUUCCUGUAGUCAAGAUGUCACAAGUUUAAAAAUAAAAGUUAAGACACUACCACCAAGGCAAAGGAUUUGUACAAAUUCAUUAAACUGGAAAUUCAUUCAACUAGAGGUUUUACUUACAGACUCAUUUAAAUGUAGGUUCAACCAAUACUUUCUUCUUCUCCCCUUCCCCAAAUUACAUUCAACAUUUAAAGCUGUUUAUAGCUUGCCAUCACCAUUAUUCUGGUAGGCUUGUCAGUGUUAAAUCUGUUGGUUUUUGACAGCUUUUUAAAGACCAAUUUUAGGAUAGUUGAAUUCAGAUAUGUACCAGAGUGUGUAUUUUGCAAAAUGUUCUUGAUUAAAGAAAUUUGUAAAUUAUCCAUUGUUUUUGAGUAUGCCCAAUUGAUAUGAUAAAUUUUUCAUUGUCUUACCAUAAAGCCUUGAUGAUCAACAGGGGGAAAGCACUAUUGUGAAGCUUUUUGUGAAUUUUAAAAGUGCAAAAUAAAGCAACUAGGUUUAAAUAA
Non-coding RNA from Leptonychotes weddellii (Weddell seal), 2471 nucleotides. The record is from RefSeq and is a predicted model, not a curated record. Lineage: Eukaryota; Metazoa; Chordata; Mammalia; Carnivora; Phocidae.